GCCCAUGCGCUCAGUGGUUAGAGCAUUGAGCUGUGAACCAAAGGGUCUCGGGUUUGAUUCCUGGUCAAGGGCA
RNAcentral lists this transfer RNA (73 nucleotides) under Myotis lucifugus (little brown bat). It matches the Rfam family "tRNA". Rfam says of the family: Transfer RNA (tRNA) molecules are approximately 80 nucleotides in length. The record is from Rfam by way of RNAcentral. Lineage: Eukaryota; Metazoa; Chordata; Mammalia; Chiroptera; Vespertilionidae.